This 465-nucleotide ribosomal RNA is filed under the name uncultured bacterium. RNAcentral describes it as "partial 16S ribosomal RNA". It matches the Rfam family "Bacterial small subunit ribosomal RNA", at positions 28 to 507 of the family's 1533-position model. The record is from RNAcentral.
GAUGAACGCUGGCGGCGUGCUUAACACAUGCAAGUCGAACGGAAAGGCCCCUGCUUGCAGGGGUACUCGAGUGGCGAAUGGGGGAGUAAUAUGUGGGUGAUCUGCCUCGCACUUCUGGAUAUGCCUGGGAAACUGGGUCUAACACUGGUAAGGAAUACGGCCUGGAUGCCAUUGUGGAAAGUUUUUCGGUGUGGGAUGAGCUCGCGGCCUAUCAGCUUGUUGGUGGGGUAAUGGCCUACCAAGGCGUCGACGGGUAGCCGGCCUGAGAGGGUGUACGGCCACAGUGCGACUGAGAUACGGCCCAGAGUCGUACGGGAGACAGCAGUGGGGAAUAUUGCACAAUGGGCGCAAGCCUGAUGCAGCGACGCCGCGUGGGGGAUGACGGCCUGCGGGUUGUAAACUCCUUUCGCUAGGGACGGAGCGCAAGUGACGGUACCUGGAGAAGAAGCACCGGCUAACUACGUG